This 2648-nucleotide long non-coding RNA is filed under the name Mytilus galloprovincialis (Mediterranean mussel). The record is from RNAcentral. Lineage: Eukaryota; Metazoa; Mollusca; Bivalvia; Mytilida; Mytilidae.
UGCAAAUAAUGAUGCAAUAUCAACUAUAUAAAUAGAAGUUAUGAAACUUACAAAGUCAAUGCAAAACUUGAAAAUUUCAAAUUGAUUUUUUGGUGUUUUUUUCCAUGGAAUGUUUUUGGUAUUUGGUCAAACAUAUACCUAUGUCAACCUCUUCAAUUUCUAAAACAUUUUAAGUGGUAAACUCUUGAUGAUUCAGAAAUACAUGCCUCCGCUCACAAAACUUCAAACUGCAUUAUCUCUAAAACGACAAUAGAUAUCUCAAAUCUGUUAAAUGAUAAAUGAUCUACAGUUGAAGGACAACAUUAUAGAAAAAGAAUUGGGACAAUUUCAAAGUUCACUAAGGUCAUAAUAUAUCAUCAAAUAUAUGAUGCAAUACAAAACUUGAGAACCGGAAGUCGUAGAGACAUGGGACUAUCACCAUUCAACUCAGGACCACUUGACCUUUCAAAUAUCACAAGGUCAAGGUCAUAGUAUAUUGUGAAGGUCAAGGUGAAAUUUCAUCAUGACCUGACAUUGACCUCAAAUUGAAGGUCUUGAACUACUGAUCAUCUUUGCAGUUUAUAGUAGGUUGAUAUCUGUUACCUUUAAAAAGAUAUACACACAAUACUAUACUUUUAAGAAUCAUCCCGUCGUAACUUUUGAACAGACAGUCGGACAUUUUUGGGCUUAUUUUAUGAAAUGUAGAGCUUGUCGAGAGGAACAUUUUAUACGCUGUAUGUAUGCAGCAAAGUCUUAUCGUUUUCCUAAUAUGUAAGCUUGAAAUUGCAGCGUAAUUUUUUUUUUGCACUCUGUGACCUUUGACCUUGGGUGCAAAUUAAAGGUCACAUGAACUUAAGAUUAUUGGUGUAGGUCCCAAGUCUCUACGACUUCUGGUUCUCGAAAUACAAUUUUUCUAAAAUUAUGUACAAUUUUACAAGGGGAAUAACUCCUUAUCAGGGUUAAUAACAAAAUGAUUGUACAUGUUCAUUAACAUUGCCAUCUGUUCCUGUACAUGUUGCCGUUUUCAAAUCGAUUCUAUCUCUUAUACUUUUUGAGAAAAAUGCAAAGAAAAGAAAUUGUUUCAAGGGGAUAUAACUCUCAUAGGGGACGAUGAAAUCCUAUUCAGCCUCACAUGGUAAUACAUCAUGAUGAGAUCUACAUUAUGUCCAUUUAAGGUCAUGAUAUCUGUAAAACCAACGAGGGGGGGCCAUGUUGAAAAAAAUCAAUAAAAGGGAGAUAACUCCUAAAGGGGAUAAUGCAAUCCUUAACAGGGUCAUUUGGUAUUACAUCUUGGUAAUGUCUAGCGAUGGUCCAUAUUUGGUCUUAAUAACUUCAACAGAAACAAGAGGCGGGCAUGUCAAACAAAUGUUGGAAGAAAAAAAAGAAAAAGAAAAAGAAAAAAAAACAUUAGAAAAACAAUAAGGUCUUUCCCAUGUAGGGGAAAGACCUUAAAAAAAAAAAUUUGUCGACCUACCGACCCUAUUUCUUAAAAGUAUGUAACUGGAACCACACAUAUAUUUUUAUUUGGCCUAAGUAAUUGAAAUGAAUAAAAUUUUAACACAAUGUUUAUAACCUCAAGAGGAAGCUUGAGAUUGAUUUUGGGGGUUAUGGUCCCUAAGGUUCAGGAAUUAGGGGCCCAAAGGGGCCCAAAACGAGCGUUUAUAUAGUUGCAGGGCAAAUAAGUUGUGUAGAAAUAUUUUAAUUGCUCUGAAAUUGUACCAGAUAUUUGUUUUGAGGCAAUUAAUAUUCAACAGCAUUGCUCAAAAAGCCAAAAAAAAAUAAUUGUUAAGUUUAUUAGACAAAUUCAUUCUGUGUCAGAAACCUAUGCUGUGUCAACUAUAAUAGUAUUUAAUCAAAUCCAAAUUCAGAGCUAUAUCAAGCUUGAAUGUAGUGUCCAUACUUGCCCCAACUGUUCAGGGUUCGACCUCUGAAGUCAUACAUUGUAUAAAGCUGCGCCCUGCGGAGCUUCUGGUUCUUUUAUAAACUCUCAUUGUUUUAUCACGAACAACUUACACAAUUACAUAACAACUAUCAAGACAAAAAGCACAGUUGUUAAAUCUUUUGAUUUUUAUGCCCCACCUACAAUAGUAGAGGGGCAUUAUGUUUUCUGGUCUGUGCGUCUGUCCGUCUGUGCCUCCGUUCGUCCGUCCGGUUAAAGUUUUUGGUCGAGGUAGUUUUUGAUGAAGCUGAAGUCCAAUUAACUUGAAACUUAAUACACAUGUUCCCCAUGAUAUGAUCUUUCUAAUUUUGAUGCCAAAUUAUAGUUUUGACCCCAAUUUCAUGAUCCACUGAACAUACAUGUAGAAAAUGAUAGUGCAAAGUUCAGGUUAAAGUUUUUGGUCAAGGUAGUUUUUGAUGAAGUUAAAGUUACAUCAACUUGAAACUUAGUACACAUGUUCCCUAUGAUAUGAUCUUUCUAAUUUUAAUUCCAAAUUAAAGUUUUGACCCCAAUUUCACGGUCCACUGAACAUAGAAAAUGAUAGUGGGAGUGGGGCAUCCGUGUACUAUGGACACAUUCUUGUUUUUUUUUAAAUCAGAUUUGUCAUAUGUACAUCUACAUUUAAUCAUGCUUUUAAAUUGAAAAAAGUAAUAUAACGUUACAAAAAUAAUGUGCACUGUACUUCCAUAUUGAAAGUCCCUAAUCAAAUGUUUAAAUAAAAAGCUCAAAC